Molecule: non-coding RNA, 47 nt
Filed under: Trypanosoma brucei brucei
Lineage: Eukaryota; Euglenozoa; Kinetoplastea; Trypanosomatida; Trypanosomatidae
Source: RNAcentral
ACAAACACAAACUGACGAAUAGAUACAGAUUAAGUGAGUGAAAUAAG